RNAcentral lists this ribosomal RNA (983 nucleotides) under Phaeosphaeriopsis sp. Its description in RNAcentral is "SSU rRNA". It matches the Rfam family "Eukaryotic small subunit ribosomal RNA", at positions 108 to 1101 of the family's 1831-position model. Lineage: Eukaryota; Fungi; Ascomycota; Dothideomycetes; Pleosporales; Phaeosphaeriaceae. The record is from RNAcentral.
AGUUAUCGUUUAUUUGAUAGUACCUUACUACUUGGAUAACCGUGGUAAUUCUAGAGCUAAUACAUGCUGAAAACCCCAACUUCGGGAGGGGUGUAUAUAUUAGAUAAAAAACCAACGCCCUUCGGGGCUUCUUGGUGAUUCAUGAUAUCUUUACGGAUCGCAUGGCCUUGCGCCGGCGACGGUUCAUUCAAAUUUCUGCCCUAUCAACUUUCGAUGGUAAGGUAUUGGCUUACCAUGGUUUCAACGGGUAACGGGGAAUUAGGGUUCGAUUCCGGAGAGGGAGCCUGAGAAACGGCUACCACAUCCAAGGAAGGCAGCAGGCGCGCAAAUUACCCAAUCCCGACACGGGGAGGUAGUGACAAUAAAUACUGAUACAGGGCUCUUUUGGGUCUUGUAAUUGGAAUGAGUACAAUUUAAACCUCUUAACGAGGAACAAUUGGAGGGCAAGUCUGGUGCCAGCAGCCGCGGUAAUUCCAGCUCCAAUAGCGUAUAUUAAAGUUGUUGCAGUUAAAAAGCUCGUAGUUGAACCUUGGGUCUGGCUGGCAGGUCCGCCUCACCGCGUGUACUUGUCCGGCCGGGCCUUCCUUCUGGAGAACCUCAUGCCCUUCACUGGGCGUGUUGGGGACCAGGACUUUUACUUUGAAAAAAUUAGAGUGUUCAAAGCAGGCCUUUGCUCGAAUACGUUAGCAUGGAAUAAUAGAAUAGGACGUGCGGUCCUAUUUUGUUGGUUUCUAGGACCGCCGUAAUGAUUAAUAGGGACAGUCGGGGGCAUCAGUAUUCAAUUGUCAGAGGUGAAAUUCUUGGAUUUAUUGAAGACUAACUACUGCGAAAGCAUUUGCCAAGGAUGUUUUCAUUAAUCAGUGAACGAAAGUUAGGGGAUCGAAGACGAUCAGAUACCGUCGUAGUCUUAACCGUAAACUAUGCCGACUAGGGAUCGGGCGAUGUUCUUUUUCUGACUCGCUCGGCACCUUACGAGAAAUCAA